AGACGAUGAUGAUUUCAUAGUUCAACUUAACAGUACUUGACGAACAAAUUUCGCCCCUAGCUGAUGUCUU
RNAcentral lists this small nucleolar RNA (70 nucleotides) under Strigamia maritima. RNAcentral's name for it is "Nematode snoRNA ceN111". It matches the Rfam family "Nematode snoRNA ceN111". The record is from Rfam by way of RNAcentral. Lineage: Eukaryota; Metazoa; Arthropoda; Chilopoda; Geophilomorpha; Linotaeniidae.